RNAcentral lists this small nuclear RNA (23 nucleotides) under Arabidopsis thaliana (thale cress). RNAcentral describes it as "snRNA_02312". The record is from RNAcentral. Lineage: Eukaryota; Viridiplantae; Streptophyta; Magnoliopsida; Brassicales; Brassicaceae.
CCGGUAUUUCCAAAAAAGUCGGU